This 29-nucleotide non-coding RNA is filed under the name Mus musculus (house mouse). Lineage: Eukaryota; Metazoa; Chordata; Mammalia; Rodentia; Muridae. The record is from RNAcentral.
UUUNGUGCUUAGAUGGCCUCUCAGAUGGU